This 2922-nucleotide ribosomal RNA is filed under the name Bacillus cereus. RNAcentral's name for it is "23S ribosomal RNA". It matches the Rfam family "Bacterial large subunit ribosomal RNA". Lineage: Bacteria; Bacillati; Bacillota; Bacilli; Caryophanales; Bacillaceae. The record is from RNAcentral.
GGUUAAGUUAGAAAGGGCGCACGGUGGAUGCCUUGACACUAGGAGUCGAUGAAGGACGGGACUAACGCCGAUAUGCUUCGGGGAGCUGUAAGUAAGCUUUGAUCCGAAGAUUUCCGAAUGGGGAAACCCACCAUACGUAAUGGUAUGGUAUCCUUAUCUGAAUACAUAGGGUAAGGAAGACAGACCCAGGGAACUGAAACAUCUAAGUACCUGGAGGAAGAGAAAGCAAAUGCGAUUUCCUGAGUAGCGGCGAGCGAAACGGAACAUAGCCCAAACCAAGAGGCUUGCCUCUUGGGGUUGUAGGACAUUCUAUACGGAGUUACAAAGGAACGAGGUAGACGAAGCGACCUGGAAAGGUCCGUCGUAGAGGGUAACAACCCCGUAGUCGAAACUUCGUUCUCUCUUGAAUGUAUCCUGAGUACGGCGGAACACGUGAAAUUCCGUCGGAAUCUGGGAGGACCAUCUCCCAAGGCUAAAUACUCCCUAGUGAUCGAUAGUGAACCAGUACCGUGAGGGAAAGGUGAAAAGCACCCCGGAAGGGGAGUGAAAGAGAUCCUGAAACCGUGUGCCUACAAAUAGUCAGAGCCCGUUAACGGGUGAUGGCGUGCCUUUUGUAGAAUGAACCGGCGAGUUACGAUCCCGUGCGAGGUUAAGCUGAAGAGGCGGAGCCGCAGCGAAAGCGAGUCUGAAUAGGGCGUUUAGUACGUGGUCGUAGACCCGAAACCAGGUGAUCUACCCAUGUCCAGGGUGAAGUUCAGGUAACACUGAAUGGAGGCCCGAACCCACGCACGUUGAAAAGUGCGGGGAUGAGGUGUGGGUAGCGGAGAAAUUCCAAUCGAACCUGGAGAUAGCUGGUUCUCCCCGAAAUAGCUUUAGGGCUAGCCUUAAGUGUAAGAGUCUUGGAGGUAGAGCACUGAUUGGACUAGGGGUCCUCAUCGGAUUACCGAAUUCAGUCAAACUCCGAAUGCCAAUGACUUAUCCUUAGGAGUCAGACUGCGAGUGAUAAGAUCCGUAGUCAAAAGGGAAACAGCCCAGACCGCCAGCUAAGGUCCCAAAGUGUGUAUUAAGUGGAAAAGGAUGUGGAGUUGCUUAGACAACUAGGAUGUUGGCUUAGAAGCAGCCACCAUUUAAAGAGUGCGUAAUAGCUCACUAGUCGAGUGACUCUGCGCCGAAAAUGUACCGGGGCUAAAUACACCACCGAAGCUGCGGAUUGAUACCAAUGGUAUCAGUGGUAGGGGAGCGUUCUAAGGACAGUGAAGUCAGACCGGAAGGACUGGUGGAGUGCUUAGAAGUGAGAAUGCCGGUAUGAGUAGCGAAAGACGGGUGAGAAUCCCGUCCACCGAAUGCCUAAGGUUUCCUGAGGAAGGCUCGUCCGCUCAGGGUUAGUCAGGACCUAAGCCGAGGCCGACAGGCGUAGGCGAUGGACAACAGGUUGAUAUUCCUGUACCACCUCUUUAUCGUUUGAGCAAUGGAGGGACGCAGAAGGAUAGAAGAAGCGUGCGAUUGGUUGUGCACGUCCAAGCAGUUAGGCUGAUAAGUAGGCAAAUCCGCUUAUCGUGAAGGCUGAGCUGUGAUGGGGAAGCUCCUUAUGGAGCGAAGUCUUUGAUUCCCCGCUGCCAAGAAAAGCUUCUAGCGAGAUAAAAGGUGCCUGUACCGCAAACCGACACAGGUAGGCGAGGAGAGAAUCCUAAGGUGUGCGAGAGAACUCUGGUUAAGGAACUCGGCAAAAUGACCCCGUAACUUCGGGAGAAGGGGUGCUUUCUUAACGGAAAGCCGCAGUGAAUAGGCCCAAGCGACUGUUUAGCAAAAACACAGCUCUCUGCGAAGCCGUAAGGCGAAGUAUAGGGGGUGACACCUGCCCGGUGCUGGAAGGUUAAGGAGAGGGGUUAGCGUAAGCGAAGCUCUGAACUGAAGCCCCAGUAAACGGCGGCCGUAACUAUAACGGUCCUAAGGUAGCGAAAUUCCUUGUCGGGUAAGUUCCGACCCGCACGAAAGGUGUAACGAUUUGGGCACUGUCUCAACCAGAGACUCGGUGAAAUUAUAGUACCUGUGAAGAUGCAGGUUACCCGCGACAGGACGGAAAGACCCCGUGGAGCUUUACUGUAGCCUGAUAUUGAAUUUUGGUACAGUUUGUACAGGAUAGGCGGGAGCCUUUGAAACCGGAGCGCUAGCUUCGGUGGAGGCGCUGGUGGGAUACCGCCCUGACUGUAUUGAAAUUCUAACCUACGGGUCUUAUCGACCCGGGAGACAGUGUCAGGUGGGCAGUUUGACUGGGGCGGUCGCCUCCUAAAGUGUAACGGAGGCGCCCAAAGGUUCCCUCAGAAUGGUUGGAAAUCAUUCGUAGAGUGCAAAGGCAUAAGGGAGCUUGACUGCGAGACCUACAAGUCGAGCAGGGACGAAAGUCGGGCUUAGUGAUCCGGUGGUUCCGCAUGGAAGGGCCAUCGCUCAACGGAUAAAAGCUACCCCGGGGAUAACAGGCUUAUCUCCCCCAAGAGUCCACAUCGACGGGGAGGUUUGGCACCUCGAUGUCGGCUCAUCGCAUCCUGGGGCUGUAGUCGGUCCCAAGGGUUGGGCUGUUCGCCCAUUAAAGCGGUACGCGAGCUGGGUUCAGAACGUCGUGAGACAGUUCGGUCCCUAUCCGUCGUGGGCGUAGGAAAUUUGAGAGGAGCUGUCCUUAGUACGAGAGGACCGGGAUGGACGCACCGCUGGUGUACCAGUUGUUCUGCCAAGGGCAUAGCUGGGUAGCUAUGUGCGGAAGGGAUAAGUGCUGAAAGCAUCUAAGCAUGAAGCCCACCUCAAGAUGAGAUUUCCCAUAGCGUAAGCUAGUAAGAUCCCUGAAAGAUGAUCAGGUUGAUAGGUUCGAGGUGGAAGCAUGGUGACAUGUGGAGCUGACGAAUACUAAUAGAUCGAGGACUUAACCAU